GUGAGGAAUAUUGCGCAAUGGAGGCAACUCUGACGCAGCCAUGCCGCGUGCAGGAAGAAGGCGCUACGCGUUGUAAACUGCUUUUAACCGGGAAGAAACCCCAGGACGUGUCCUGGGUUGACGGUACCGGAGGAAUAAGCACCGGCUAACUUCGUGCCAGCAGCCGCGGUAAUACGAAGGGUGCAAGCGUUAUCCGGAUUCAGUCGGUUUAAAGGGUGCGUAGGCGGAGCGUUAAGUCAGUGGUGAAAUCCUGCAGCUUAACUGUAGACUUGCCAUUGAUACUGGCGCUCUUGAGUGCGCUUGAAGUGGGCGGAAUGUGCCGUGUAGCGGUGAAAUGCUUAGAUAUGGCACAGAACACCAAUUGCGAAGGCAGCUCACUAAGGCGAUACUGACGCUGAGGCACGAAAGCGUGGGGAUCGAACAGGAUUAGAAACCCGGGUAGUCC
RNAcentral lists this ribosomal RNA (445 nucleotides) under uncultured bacterium. RNAcentral's name for it is "partial 16S ribosomal RNA". It matches the Rfam family "Bacterial small subunit ribosomal RNA", at positions 354 to 796 of the family's 1533-position model. The record is from RNAcentral.